CAGUCGCCGCGGUAAAACGAAGGGUGCAAGCGUUACUCGGAAUUACUGGGCGUAAAGCGUGCGUAGGUGGUGGUUUAAGUCCGUUGUGAAAGCCCUGGGCUCAACCUGGGAAUUGCAGUGGAUACUGGGUCACUAGAGUGUGGUAGAGGAUAGUGGAAUUUCCGGUGUAGCGGUGAAAUGCGUAGAGAUCGGGAGGAACAUCAGUGGCGAAGGCGGCCAUCUGGGACAACACUGACGCUGAGGCACGAAAGCGUGGGGAGCAAACAGGAUUAGAGACCCCAGUAGUUCCUGUCUCUUAUAC
This 301-nucleotide ribosomal RNA is filed under the name uncultured bacterium. RNAcentral's name for it is "partial 16S ribosomal RNA". It matches the Rfam family "Bacterial small subunit ribosomal RNA", at positions 509 to 807 of the family's 1533-position model. The record is from RNAcentral.